UGAUGAACGCUGGCGGCGUGCUUAACACAUGCAAGUCGAACGAACCUUCGGGUUAGUGGCGGACGGGUGAGUAACGCGUGAGAAUCUGCCCUCAGGAGGGGGACAACAGCUGGAAACGGCUGCUAAUACCCCAUAUGCCGCGAGGUGAAAUGAAUUUCGCCUGAGGAUGAGCUCGCGUCUGAUUAGCUAGUUGGUGUAGGUAAUGGCUCACCAAGGCAUCGAUCAGUAGCUGGUCUGAGAGGAUGAUCAGCCACACUGGGACUGAGACACGGCCCAGACUCCUACGGGAGGCAGCAGUGGGGAAUUUUCCGCAAUGGGCGAAAGCCUGACGGAGCAACGCCGCGUGAGGGAUGAAGGCCUCUGGGCUGUAAACCUCUUUUAUCAAGGAAGAAGAUCUGACGGUACUUGAUGAAUAAGCCACGGCUAAUUCCGUG
RNAcentral lists this ribosomal RNA (434 nucleotides) under uncultured bacterium. RNAcentral's name for it is "bacterial SSU rRNA". It matches the Rfam family "Bacterial small subunit ribosomal RNA", at positions 28 to 507 of the family's 1533-position model. The record is from RNAcentral.